This 504-nucleotide ribosomal RNA is filed under the name uncultured Gammaproteobacteria bacterium. RNAcentral describes it as "partial 16S ribosomal RNA". The record is from RNAcentral. Lineage: Bacteria; Pseudomonadati; Pseudomonadota; Gammaproteobacteria.
UUGGGAGCUCUCCCAUAUGGUCGACCUGCAGGCGGCCGCGAAUUCACUAGUGAUUAGACCUUCUUACACACGCGGCAUGGCUGGAUCAGGCUUUCGCCCAUUGUCCAAUAUUCCCCACUGCUGCCUCCCGUAGGAGUCUGGACCGUGUCUCAGUUCCAGUGUGACUGAUCAUCCUCUCAGACCAGUUACGGAUCGUCGCCUUGGUGAGCCAUUACCCCACCAACUAGCUAAUCCGACCUAGGCUCAUCUGAUAGCGCAAGGCCCGAAGGUCCCCUGCUUUCUCCCGUAGGACGUAUGCGGUAUUAGCGUCCGUUUCCGAACGUUAUCCCCCACUACCAGGCAGAUUCCUAGGCAUUACUCACCCGUCCGCCGCUCUCAAGAGAAGCAAGCUUCUCUCUACCGCUCGACUUGCAUGUGUUAGGCCUGCCGCCAGCGUUCAAUCUGAGCCAUGAUCAAACUCUAAUCGAAUUCCCGCGGCCGCCAUGGCGGCCGGGAGCAUGCGAC